RNAcentral lists this small nuclear RNA (151 nucleotides) under Myotis davidii. RNAcentral's name for it is "U1 spliceosomal RNA". It matches the Rfam family "U1 spliceosomal RNA". From Rfam's summary of the family: U1 is a small nuclear RNA (snRNA) component of the spliceosome (involved in pre-mRNA splicing). Its 5' end forms complementary base pairs with the 5' splice junction, thus defining the 5' donor site of an intron. The record is from Rfam by way of RNAcentral. Lineage: Eukaryota; Metazoa; Chordata; Mammalia; Chiroptera; Vespertilionidae.
AUACCUACUUGGCAGGGGAGAUGCCAUGAUCAGGAAGGUGGUUUUCCCAGGUGGAGGCUUAGCCCUUGCACUGGGAUUGGAUUUCCCCAAAUCUGGGAUACGCAACUGCAUAAUUUGUGUUCGUGGGGGACUGUGUUCACUCUCUCUCCCC